GACGAACCGUGCGAACGUUGUUCGGAUUCACUGGGCUUAAAGGGCGCGUAGGCGGGCUCGCCAGUCUGUGGUGAAAGCCCCCGGCUUAACCGGGGAAGUGCCGUGGAUACUGCGAGUCUUGAGGAGGGUAGGGGCAUCUGGAACGCUGGGUGGAGCGGUGAAAUGCGUAGAUAUCAGGAGGAACACCUGCGGUGUAGACGGCUUACUGGACCAUAACUGACGCUGAGGCACGAAAGCGUGGGUAGCAAACAGG
Molecule: ribosomal RNA, 253 nt
Filed under: uncultured bacterium
Lineage: Bacteria
Description: partial 16S ribosomal RNA
Rfam family: Bacterial small subunit ribosomal RNA
Source: RNAcentral